AAUGAUAUAAGAAUUCAAUAAAACAAGUUCAAGAAUUAAUUUAUCCAGGAACCAAUAACGUCCAAAUUGUCAACAUUAUACUGCUUUGUAGAGUAAAAUUCAAGAAUGCUCAGAAGAAUAUUUUCAUGAAAGGAUACUGGAUGAAGCGCAAAUAUCAAGGAUAUUCCACUAAUUUCAUGGAGUAUAGAAGUCAAAAAUUUAACCAACUGAGUAUAAUAAGG
Molecule: long non-coding RNA, 221 nt
Filed under: Panax ginseng (ginseng)
Lineage: Eukaryota; Viridiplantae; Streptophyta; Magnoliopsida; Apiales; Araliaceae
Description: long non-coding RNA (PGIN_LNC003871)
Source: RNAcentral